CGAGGCAGAGCCAUCGACGCCCGGAGGCCAGAGCUGUCUCUGCUCCGGAGGUUCGCAUGUUUGGCCGAUCUGGUACUUGCUGCUACUGCUAGGCUGGGUCGCCAUCUUAUGCACGGAUCACGGUGGUCGCGCGCUCGUUUGCGACCGUCGGCGCCAACUUGCAGGACCAGCAACCGCGACGGCCGGGCUCCUCGUGGUUCGACGCUCCGAUCUGGUCCUGCCGGAGCUCCGGCUGCGCGACGACAUAUUUGCUCGGAACAUGUUUGUGAAAAUGCGUCUGUCAGUCUGUGGGUACAUGUUUGGGACGCGCAUCCCUCUGCGCCCGAGAUAUUUGCCCGGAACAUGUUUGGAUGCAAAGCUGCCGUAUGCUGGCGGAUGUUCUGAAGCAAAUGUACAUUAGAGAGGCUGCUUGUCAACGGCAAUGUUGAUGCUGUUGAUGUUUCAGGGUUUUUGUGUUGUACAACUGAUAGGAUUACCGAGUUGAAGACAUGCUCUGCUUGCCCAGUUGCCAUAAUGCUCUAGCUGUUGGCGGCUUGGUGCUGCAUUGCAGUGAACUUGUCUUUAUUAUAAGAUGCUCAUGUGAAUAAACUCUGUACUUACUUUCUUAUUGGUCUUCACAGAGGCUGGCAGCAGCGUCAUCAACAUACAGUGAUGCACGUAUAUUGAAAAGGUUUUCGGAGGACCUGAGAGUGCUGCACCGUGUGGCCGUGUGGCAGAUUUCAAGCGAUCUUUGCGUCUGAAUUGUGUCAUUGUCCAUUUGCUGAUUCAUCUCUACUAGACAUGUCCUUAUAUAAGUGCCGGACUGCAGGGUUUGGAGGUUAGCUUGGUGGAGGCAGUGCAGAGGCUAAAUAUAAUGGUUGCCCAAAACUCUUCCUGAUAAAUGAAUCAUGGUAUAUAUCUGAUGAUGACCUGAGGUAAUUACAUGCUUUAGCUUCGAUUAUUGUGUAUUACCAUGUUCAGACAUGUUUUUUUUUAAGGCUGUGUGCAUCAACCGAUGCAGAGGCCGGGGAUCACCCCAUUUCGAAGAAAAAAAGACAUGUUUUUUUCAACCUUCUUGAGUGCAAACUGUAUAGUUUUGAAGUUUUGGUUAACUGGAAAUCUGGAAUAUUGAGUGUUUAAGACUAUAAGCCCAAAGAGUUUAUAAUUUAUCACUAAGUUUGCAUUGCAGAAACUUUACUGCUUUCCACUUCAUGGAAAUAGAGGGAACCGAAGACCCUUUUUACAACUCACAUUUUAGAAUGUUUGUUAGAAAAAAUCCGCAUACAAACUGUAAUCCCUAGUAAUCAUCAGUACGAAUACUUAUAAACUUAAGAGUUGAUUUUCUACAUGUUCUGAAGUUUCAUUGGAUAACAUCACAGCAUGUGUGUUACUUCUGGUAAGUGUCUCUGGAAUAGCACACUGUUAACCAUAACCACAUCACAUUUCUCCUUUCAUUUACUGCAGAAUUGUGUUCCUUGUCCUCUUAAGUCUUCACACACCACUAUUGCUGGUUUUACCAGAUGCGAAGCAGCAUGUACAAAGCAUACUGAAGGCUAGGAAAGUAUCCCCAUGAACAGAAACUAAAAUUUACGUGGGGUGCUCACAUAGCUGUGGUUUGAUUAGAAGUUAUUUCUGCAUGUAGAGGUUCCAAAUGGUGAAAUAUUUUACUAUAAAAUUCUCAAACUAAAUGGCAUAUAACAUUAUAAAUAAAUAGUUAUCUCUAUUGAUUUACUAUUGGAAAAACAUAAGGGAGAAGCUUGUUGCAUCUAUACCAACUAGUAAACGUGCAGUCUUAGGAAUUUAUUUGCCAUCCUUUGUGGACUCAGCCUUCUCAAACUUUUGACUCCGGCGAUCAUUGGCGAAAAAUGCAGACACGGUAGAAACGUAUUUUAGGCAUAGGAAAGUUAUAAUUUACACAUAUAAUUUUAUCCAAACCCAGAAAGAUCAUUGAUGUUCAUUUCAAUAAAAACCAAUCAAGUAAUAAAAAAGACACAAAUUUGCAAUAUAUUCAUUGAGGAAGUUUAUCACACAAAAAUUGAUGGUUGACACGACCCAAAAAACACCGAGUAUGCCGAUUUCAGUGACAGCGGGCUUUAAAAGUAUGCACUCAACUUAUUAUUUAUUCCAGACCUGCAUGUCUAAUCAAUUUGGUCCAUCUUGUUAACUUACUUUUGCAAGGACGGGUUAUAAUUGAAACAAUUUUCUAUGGAAUCAAACAAAUCUGUGCUUAUAAUCACGACUGAUUUACACAAAUCAAGCCGUAGCUCCAUAACUCACAUGAUAAAAGAUUUUAAGCCUUUAGAUACCUGAACGGGACAACUUGGUGAUGCUCUGCCGUGAAGACUUUUGAUAAUAUUGGUGAGUGGGGAGGUGGUCGGUGAGGAAGAUACAUAUUUUGCAGGGGUAGUGUAGCUUUAUCGGAGGCACUCGGCAAAAAAAUCGAUGGGUAUAGGCACAAUUAGAUCCUUAUAAUUGAGAUCUGAUUUAGCAAAUCAUUAUAAUAAUUAAAUUAAAUGUGGAAGAAAAAAUAUAUCAUCCAUUUUCAUCGCAAUAGUUAGCUCGUGACUAGAUAAUCCAAUAUUUCCUUGUAACAACUACCAUGUCUACCGAAAGAAGGAGAACCAGAUAAAAAUAUGUAUAUUUCCUCAUAUAAUCAUCAGUUAAUAAAUAUAUAUUGACGGAGAAAAAUCAAAUGGCAAACUUAUGUUAUGUGAUUUUUUCCAUCAAUAUAUCGUUGGUAACUGAUGAUUAUGUGAUUUUACUUAUUCUGUAUAAGGAAACAUACAUAUUUUUAGUUGGUUUUUUGUUUUAAACUUUUUUUUCGUAGACAUGGUAGCUGCUACAAAGAAAUAUUAGAGCUAGCUAAUGCGAUGAAAAGUGACGAUAUAUUUUUUCCUUCCACGCUUAUUUUAAUUAUUAUAUUGAUAUGCUAAAUCAGAUCUCAAUUAUGUGGAUCUAAUUGCACCUAUGCUGAUUGAUUUUUUUUGCCGACCGCCUCCUAUAAAGCUAAACCACCCGUACACAAUACGUGUCAUCCUGAGCGACCACCUCCCCAACUCAUCAAUAUUAUCAAGAGUCUUCAGAUCAUCACCAACCUCCCCAACUCAUCAAUAUUAUCAAGAGUCUUCACAUCAUCACCAAAUUUUCCCAUUCAGGUACGUAAAGGUUCAAAUCUUUUAUCUAAUGUUAAUUAUGGAGCUACGGCUUGAUUUGGGUCCAUCAAUCGUGAUUAUAAGCAGAGAUUGGUUUGAUUCAUUAUAAAAUUGCUUCAAUUACGACCUGUCUUGGCAAGAGCAAGUUAACAAGAUGGACCAAAUUGAUUAAACACGCAGCUCUGGAAUAAAUAAUAAGAUGAUUGUGUUUAUUAAAAUUUUAAAUCCAAUUGUCACUGAAAUCGGUCUACUUGGUGUUUCUUUUGGGUCAUAUGAACCAUCAUUUAUUUUGUCAUUUUUGUGUGAUAGACUUUAUCAAUGAAUAUAUUGCAAGUCUGUGCCUUUUUUUAUUACUUACUAUUAUCUUUUUAUUGGAUUUUAUUGAAGUGCCGAGUUCGGAUAAAACUGCAUGUGUAAAUUAUAAAAAUUUAUGCCAAAAAUACGUUUCUGCGGUGUUUGCAUUAUCCAUCCAUGAUUGCCGGAAUCGAAAAUUUGAGAAGGCUGAGGCGACAAAGGGUGACAAAUAAAUUCCUAAGAUUACACAUGUGUGGCACAUGCACGUUUACUAGUGAGUUAUAGUGUUCAAACACGAUCUUAACUCCUAUGGCAUUCUUUUCAAGCUUUUGAUAUUAGUUUUUCUGUUGCAAUGAACAAUUCUGUCAGUUUUGUGGGGAACUGUUGCAAGCGUGAAUACACGGCUUUAAAUUUGAGAGCGCUAAAGUGCAAACCAAAUAGAAAAAUAGAAUGUUCGCAAGAUAAACUUAUACUAAAUGCUGGAAUGUCUCAGCCAACAACUCCUUACGUUUACAGUAGACUGAUCUUUUCUUGAAAGAAACAUAGAUGGAUCGCAUAAUGGCAAUGAAUACCGCUACUGGAAGAGUAAUGUAAAAAUAUUUGAGGUCCACUUGAUAGAAAGUUAAAUUAUAAUUAACUAUUCCAUCUACAGUGGGAAGUUAUUGGCAAAGUUGCUGGAACAAACACACGGAAGCAUGGACAUAGCGGAAAACCGUUGAUUCCUGCAAUGAUAGCUGAUAAUAUGCAAUACCAGUAAGAAGUCGUUUGGAAGCCAGGCUUUCCUUUCAUUUGUAGCAUGUUGAAAUGAAUACAUGUGUUUAUUUCAUUUACAUUGUAAUUCUAGAAAUAGAAACUUGUUUGGUUGCCACAGAAAUUGUAAAUGACAGCAAAAUUCAGUAUUUAAUUUGUAAAUGGCUUCCAUAGAGAAACGCAAAUGACAGGUCUCAGCUUGGAAUCGUGUUUACCCAUGGAUUCAUUUUGCUAGAUUUCCUAAAUGAAAUGACGACCCAAUUAUGUGGCAACCAAACAGCCCACCUAUGGAAUUCCAAAAUGAAUUCUAGGAUUCCAGGCCCAAAAGAUGGAUACCAAACGACUUCUAAGGUGAUUCACAGAGAAGGUCCAUAUUCUGUAUCACCAUGAUUCAGCAGAAACACAUAGCUUUGUGUUUAUACCUGACCACACCUAAGCUGCACACAAAGAGGAUGUAAGAUUACCACUUCAAAACUUUGAUCUUCAUGGAAAGUUUAUUAUAGAAGUUCUGUUGACCUGGUAUUGAAAAAAAUGUUAUAUUUUAAGGAAAAAGUUGCUGUUAUUUUUCUAGUGGGACAAAAUAUGUCAUAAAACUAUGCAAACUUGACAAAAGGAUGGGCCCAUCAAUUGUACAAAAAUAAUCUAUGCUAUUUUUCACAUGUUACUCAAAAGUCUUCUGCAAGAUUUUCUUACCUUAACUUCCUUCUCUUAGUGAGAAAAGUUGAAGAAAAGAAAGCUAUGCACUAUGCUGUAAUGAUAAGCACAAGAUGGUACUUGCAUUUUGGAAUUGGUUUACAAAGUACGAGGUAAAUGAUGGAGAAUGUAUGGUUAUUCUUAUUCAGAUUGCUUUCCAUGAAAGUUCAGAAGUGAGUGCCAUAGUAGAGAAAACCAUGAUCUAUGUGCGCUCCAACCUUACUUUUUGCACUAGAUCCUUGUAACUGAUUUGACUUUGGACCUUUGGUAUUUCUGUUAGUUGAAAGGGCAACCAGGGUUGGUGAACAUCGUUAAAUUAUUAUGGUAGUGAUAAGGGGCCUUUCCCUGAAUGUCACAACCUGUGAGUUUUCCUUUCUUUUCCACUAAAGAGCUGUGGCAUAUUUUUUAAGAAUACACUAUUCUUGUUUUGAAGUUUUGAGAACAUGCAGGAGAGAUGUAUUAAGUAGAGUGAAGAUCAAACCAUGCAGGAUACAAAGGUGCUAAAGCCCUUCGUGGCCUUCCCUCCACUCCAGGCCUCCAGAUGACAAUCCAAACUUGGCCCUGUCAGGCUAACAGAUGUUAGCCUUGUAUAGUUUUUUCAUCAUCUUGUUCUUUCUUUCUUUCUCUUUCUUUUUUGUAGCCCGGCUACAUUGCUGUACUCACCCUCUUUCUUUGCGGUUUCCUUCUAAUAUACACAAGCCAAAGCAUGUGUUCGAGGAAAAAAAACUCAAAGGAGUAAUACAAGAGAGGAAACAAAAA
Lolium perenne is the source of this 5627-nucleotide non-coding RNA. The record is from RefSeq and is a predicted model, not a curated record. Lineage: Eukaryota; Viridiplantae; Streptophyta; Magnoliopsida; Poales; Poaceae.